AAUACCCCACCCAUUCAGCACUGAGACAGCAAGAACUUACCCGAAAUCUUGAUCUUUUCAGUGGUUCUUAGAGCUCAAAACUGCUAGUUUUCCUCCUCCUUCUGUUCUUCAAGUUUGAGUUGUAAAGAGAGGAGAGAAAACAUCUGUAAGGGUUGUCUCCUAAGCCCGUCAAAAGGAGUGAAUCUGUAAGAAGGUAGUUGGCCUUCGCCUAUUGAAGGAAGGCCUCUAGUUGACGUCGGUAACCUCAUCGGUGGAGGAAGCCAAAAGUGGAGUAGGUCAAGACUGACCGAACCACUCUAAAUCUCUGGUUUGCGUUUAUUUUG
This 323-nucleotide long non-coding RNA is filed under the name Musa acuminata (dwarf banana). Its description in RNAcentral is "long non-coding RNA (MACU_LNC010084)". Lineage: Eukaryota; Viridiplantae; Streptophyta; Magnoliopsida; Zingiberales; Musaceae. The record is from RNAcentral.